RNAcentral lists this unclassified non-coding RNA (169 nucleotides) under soil metagenome. RNAcentral describes it as "partial internal transcribed spacer 1". The record is from RNAcentral.
CAGAAGGUUACAAUGCCUACAAACCACUGCGAACCGUUCCUUUUAGCUGCCUCGGCGGGCAAUCCCAGGGCGGGAUUCCGGCCCUCCUUCGGGGGGCGCCCGCCGGCGGUACGCACAUAUCUAGUUCUGUCUCUCAGCGGAUUUCUGAGUGAUUUUAAAAAACCUUUAA